AUUGAACGCUGGCGGCAUGCCUUACACAUGCAAGUCGAACGGCAGCACGGGUGCUUGCACCUGGUGGCGAGUGGCGAACGGGUGAGCAAUAUAUCGGAACAUACCCUAGAGUGGGGGAUAACGUAGCGAAAGUUACGCUAAUACCGCAUACGAACUAAGGUUGAAAGUGGGGGAUCGCAAGACCUCAUGCUCAUGGAGUGGCCGAUAUCUGAUUAGCUAGUUGGUGAGGUAAAGGCUCACCAAGGCGACGAUCAGUAGCUGGUUUGAGAGAACGACCAGCCACACUGGAACUGAGACACGGUCCAGACUCCUACGGGAGGCAGCAGUGGGGAAUUUUGGACAAUGGGGGCAACCCUGAUCCAGCAGUGCCGCGUGAGUGAAGAAGGCCCUCGGGUUGUAAAGCUCUUUUGUCAGGGAAGAAACGGUCUACUCUAAUACAGUGGGCUAAUGACGGUACCUGAAGAAUAAGCACCGGCUAACUACGUGCCAGCCGCCGCCGUAA
This 502-nucleotide ribosomal RNA is filed under the name uncultured bacterium. Its description in RNAcentral is "partial 16S ribosomal RNA". It matches the Rfam family "Bacterial small subunit ribosomal RNA", at positions 30 to 523 of the family's 1533-position model. The record is from RNAcentral.